GAGCAAACAGGAUUAGAUACCCUGGUAGUCCACGCCGUAAACGAUGUCGACUUGGAGGUUGUGCCCUUGAGGCGUGGCUUCCGGAGCUAACGCGUUAAGUCGACCGCCUGGGGAGUACGGCCGCAAGGUUAAAACUCAAAUGAAUUGACGGGGGCCCGCACAAGCGGUGGAGCAUGUGGUUUAAUUCGAUGCAACGCGAAGAACCUUACCUGGUCUUGACAUCCACGGAAGUUUUCAGAGAUGAGAAUGUGCCUUCGGGAACCGUGAGACAGGUGCUGCAUGGCUGUCGUCAGCUCGUGUUGUGAAAUGUUGGGUUAAGUCCCGCAACGAGCGCAACCCUUAUCCUUUGUUGCCAGCGGUCCGGCCGGGAACUCAAAGGAGACUGCCAGUGAUAAACUGGAGGAAGGUGGGGAUGACGUCAAGUCAUCAUGGCCCUUACGACCAGGGCUACACACGUGCUACAAUGGCGCAUACAAAGAGAAGCGACCUCGCGAGAGCAAGCGGACCUCAUAAAGUGCGUCGUAGUCCGGAUUGGAGUCUGCAACUCGACUCCAUGAAGUCGGAAUCGCUAGUAAUCGUGGAUCAGAAUGCCACGGUGAAUACGUUCCCGGGCCUUGUACACACCGCCCGUCACACCAUGGGAGUGGGUUGCAAAAGAAGUAGGUAGCUUAACCUUCGGGAGGGCGCUUACCACUUUGUGAUUCAUGACUGGGGUGAAGUCGUAACAAGGUAACCGUAGGGGAACCUGCGGUUGGAUCACCUCCUUACCUUAAAGAAGC
Molecule: ribosomal RNA, 779 nt
Filed under: Shigella flexneri
Lineage: Bacteria; Pseudomonadati; Pseudomonadota; Gammaproteobacteria; Enterobacterales; Enterobacteriaceae
Description: bacterial SSU rRNA
Rfam family: Bacterial small subunit ribosomal RNA
Source: RNAcentral